This 336-nucleotide unclassified non-coding RNA is filed under the name Homo sapiens (human). RNAcentral describes it as "partial intronic KDELR2 antisense RNA". Lineage: Eukaryota; Metazoa; Chordata; Mammalia; Primates; Hominidae. The record is from RNAcentral.
UCUCGAUCUCCUCACCAUGUAUGUGAAUAAAUACAAAACAAAAUCUACAUGCAUAAACAAGACACACAUCCAUCUACACAUGCACUGAGCCCCCUCAGCGCAUCUAGCCAAGGCUCACAGCAGAGAGGCCUCUCACCAGGACCUAGACUGUGGCCAGCUCAACAUUAAUAAAAACUUGAUGGGCGUUAUUUCCACUAAGGCCUUAGCAGCACCUGGAGAAGAACAGCUGCUUCUCUCCUCUCACCAGCACACAGAAGUUAAAGUAAAAAGACACGAGCACCUCGGGUCUCACGCCAGACUUUCAGGACAUCGUGCUUAGAAACUACAACCAAGCAA